RNAcentral lists this long non-coding RNA (406 nucleotides) under Populus trichocarpa (black cottonwood). RNAcentral describes it as "long non-coding RNA (PTRI_LNC000792)". The record is from RNAcentral. Lineage: Eukaryota; Viridiplantae; Streptophyta; Magnoliopsida; Malpighiales; Salicaceae.
UCCUCAUCCCACCAACCACUCUAAUCAUCUUGAAUAUGGUUGGAGUUGUAGCAGGAGUAUCCGAUGCAAUAAACAACGGAUAUGGAUCAUGGGGUCCUUUAUUUGGGAAGCUAUUUUUCGCUUUCUGGGUCAUUGUCCAUCUCUAUCCCUUCCUCAAAGGUCUGAUGGGAAGGCAAAACAGGACUCCUACAAUUGUUGUCCUCUGGUCUAUACUUCUUGCAUCUAUUUUCUCAUUGAUUUGGGUUAGAAUUGAUCCCUUCUUGCCCAAGCAAACUGGCCCAAUUCUCAAACAAUGUGGGGUGGAGUGCUAGCUAGUCAAUGCCUUUUGAAUUUUGCGGUCAGCUCCUGUUCUGUUCUGUGUUUUGAGUCUUUCACAGGUUAUCCCACUUUUGCACAGUUGUUUUUC